AACCCUAAUCACUCCACUCAUUUGCCAGCCACCCCAUUACCCCUUUCUCUCAUCUCUCUCUCAUCCUCUCCAACCUUUGAAUUCCCUAAAACAUAUCACAAAUGAGUGCAAAAUCACUAUAAGACCAUUGUGAGACCAUCAUCAUCAUGUUAGCCGAGAAUUCAGCUGAAAUUAUUUCUAUUUCCAUCAUCUCUUUUAAAAUAUCAAAAUCCAAAAUCCUAGAUUCAAACAUGAAAAACAUAUGAUAUCAUCAUCGCACCUUCAUUUUUCAAAUCCUCCAUUAAAGCUCGCAUGUACCCUUCAUAUUUGGAGGAAUCUUGACCUCAACGUGACGUUUGACGACCCAGAGAUCAAACGUGGGGACCUAUGGGUAAAGGCUUUGUUCAGAGGUCAUCGGCUUCAAACGGCUAGUCUAUUUCGUCACUUUUGAGAAGAUCCUGACAUUGGUACCAAUGGAGUUCUAAGAGGUACAUAGCAGCUACCAGGCAGUGAUUCAAAGUAGAGCUGCAUUCCGUUCGUAGGCCUUAGAAUAACUUUCCUAGUUCCUAUAUACUGUUUCCAUUUUAUUUCAGACAGUAUUGUAAUUCCUUUCCAAAUAUUGUAUUUAGUAUAAUCCCGAAGCUCAUGUACUUGUGACUUCACAUAUUGGGAUAUUCGCGUUAGAUGUUGGUUUUAGACUUAUUGUGUUUGUAUCAGAAUUGCCUUUACGUUUUGUUAUUAAUCUAUUGUCAGUCUUUUA
This is a long non-coding RNA of Nicotiana tabacum (common tobacco), 739 nucleotides long. RefSeq lists it as uncharacterized. Lineage: Eukaryota; Viridiplantae; Streptophyta; Magnoliopsida; Solanales; Solanaceae. The record is from RefSeq and is a predicted model, not a curated record.